GUAGUCUGCAACCCGACUACAUGAAGCUGGAAUCGCUAGUAAUCGCGAAUCAGAAUGUCGCGGUGAAUACGUUCCCGGGUCUUGUACACACCGCCCGUCACACCAUGGGAGUCGGAAAUGCCCGAAGUCAGUGACCCAACCGUAAGGAGGGAGCUGCCGAAGGUGGAGCCGGUAACUGGGGUGAAGUCGUAACAAGGUAGC
This 201-nucleotide ribosomal RNA is filed under the name uncultured bacterium. Its description in RNAcentral is "partial 16S ribosomal RNA". It matches the Rfam family "Bacterial small subunit ribosomal RNA", at positions 1300 to 1500 of the family's 1533-position model. The record is from RNAcentral.